GUAGUCCACGCCCUAAACGAUGUCAACUAGGUGUUGGGGAAGGUGACUUCCUUAGUACCGCAGCUAACGCGUGAAGUUGACCGCCUGGGGAGUACGGCCGCAAGGUUAAAACUCAAAGGAAUUGACGGGGACCCGCACAAGCGGUGGAUGAUGUGGAUUAAUUCGAUGCAACGCGAAAAACCUUACCUACCCUUGACAUGCUUGGAACCCUGCUGAGAGGUGGGGGUGCCCGAAAGGGAGCCGGGACACAGGUGCUGCAUGGCUGUCGUCAGCUCGUGUCGUGAGAUGUUGGGUUAAGUCCCGCAACGAGCGCAACCCUUGUCGUUAAUUGCCAUCAUUUAGUUGGGCACUUUAACGAGACUGCCGGUGACAAACCGGAGGAAGGUGGGGAUGACGUCAAGUCCUCAUGGCCCUUAUGGGUAGGGCUUCACACGUCAUACAAUGGCGCAUACAGAGGGUUGCGAAGCCGCGAGGUGAAGCCAAUCCCAGAAAGUGCGUCGUAGUCCGGAUUGCAGUCUGCAACUCGACUGCAUGAGGUCGGAAUCGCUAGUAAUCGCGGAUCAGCAUGUCGCGGUGAAUACGUUCCCGGGUCUUGUACACACCGCCCGUCACACCAUGGGAGUGGGUUCUACCAGAAGCAGGUAGCCUAACCGCAAGGAGGGCGCCUACCACGGUAGGAUUCAUGACUGGGGUG
This 694-nucleotide ribosomal RNA is filed under the name uncultured bacterium. RNAcentral describes it as "bacterial SSU rRNA". It matches the Rfam family "Bacterial small subunit ribosomal RNA", at positions 790 to 1482 of the family's 1533-position model. The record is from RNAcentral.